AAGGCAUCUUCUCGGGUUUCGGAUUUCUCCACCGUGGUGUCUCAUCAUGAGUUCUGCUUGCAAGAGAUUAUUGAGCAAUGCUUCAAUUUCGUCUCUCAGAUCCGCCACCAGAUCUUCCCGCCCUAAGUCUCCCACGGUCGGAGCCAACAAUCGAUCUAUGCCUGCUGCCGCCUCACCUCUUCGCCACUUCUCGUUAUCCAGGUGUCCAUCUGAACUGGGAUGUGUUCAGUCUUUGUUACCGCUCCACAGCGCCGUCGCGGCCGCCCGGCUGACGUCGUGCCUCAGCACGACCUCCAGUAGCUGCAGGGCCCUCUCUCAGGGUACACUCUGCUGCACCUCUCCCGACCUCUAAUACUCUUUUCUCUUUUCUUCCUUGCACGUAACUUCACCGUCAUUUAAUGAAAAUGAACUGGGAAAUUUACCAUGUGGGGUUCUUGCAUCUGUAUCAAAUGGAGUUGAUGGCACAUGAGACGUAUUUGCUGUUGUUAAAGAGCUUGGUCUUUCUGUUCCGAGGUGACAUGCCAAUACCAUCAUGAAGACAUUUCGUUGGAUUUACCAUCGUUGAUGAGGCAAGUUGCUCUCUUUAUCUUGUUAAAACUUAGGGACAAGGAAGAAGAUCAUUCUUUAUCAAAUACUUCUAUCCCAUGUACUCUGAUUGGUUCAUACUUGUUUUGUGUUACAACUCCAUAGCCAAAGACCCAGAGCUUCAGUUGUGAUGAAAAAAAAAGGCAGUUUCACUAA
RNA transcript from Tarenaya hassleriana, 741 nucleotides. RefSeq lists it as uncharacterized. The transcript is spliced from 5 exons. NCBI's taxonomy places the organism in Eukaryota, Viridiplantae, Streptophyta, Magnoliopsida, Brassicales, Cleomaceae. The record is from RefSeq and is a predicted model, not a curated record.